AGUUUCGAGGUAGUGACGAGAAUAACAAUACAGGGCAUUUUAUGCUCUGUAAUUGGAAUGAUGGGAAUGUAAAACCCUUCCAGAGUAACAAUUGGAGGGCAAGUCUGGUGCCAGCAGCCGCGGUAAUUCCAGCUCCAAUAGUGUAUAUUAGAGUUGUUGCAGUUAAAAAGCUCGUAGUUGGAUUUCUGUCGUGGUCAUCCGGUUCCGCCCGUACGGGUGUGCGCCUGGUUUGCCCUCGGCUUUCUUCCGGUAGCCUUCCGCGUU
Molecule: ribosomal RNA, 264 nt
Filed under: Eimeria sp. Bat13
Lineage: Eukaryota; Apicomplexa; Conoidasida; Eucoccidiorida; Eimeriidae
Description: partial 18S ribosomal RNA
Rfam family: Eukaryotic small subunit ribosomal RNA
Source: RNAcentral